CCUUAGUACGAGAGGAACGGGGCGCCGCGGCCUCUAGUGUACCGGUUGUCCGGCUGGGCAGCGCCGGGCAGCCACGCCGUAGGGGGUAACCGCUGAAAGCAUCUAAGCGGGAACCCCUCCCCGAAAAGAGGCGGCCAUCCGCCCCGAAAGGGGCGGCGAGGGCUCCCGUAGAAGACGGGGUUGAUGGGGCGGGGGUGUAAGCUCCAAGGGGGCUCGGCCCCCGAGGAGUUCAGCCCGCCGCUCCCAAUCGCCCGAGGCCGCAGGGGU
RNAcentral lists this ribosomal RNA (267 nucleotides) under Thermodiscus sp. Its description in RNAcentral is "partial 23S ribosomal RNA". It matches the Rfam family "Archaeal large subunit ribosomal RNA", at positions 2746 to 2987 of the family's 2987-position model. Lineage: Archaea; Thermoproteati; Thermoproteota; Thermoprotei; Acidilobales; Acidilobaceae. The record is from RNAcentral.